This 419-nucleotide ribosomal RNA is filed under the name uncultured ammonia-oxidizing beta proteobacterium. Its description in RNAcentral is "bacterial SSU rRNA". It matches the Rfam family "Bacterial small subunit ribosomal RNA", at positions 197 to 597 of the family's 1533-position model. Lineage: Bacteria; Pseudomonadati; Pseudomonadota; Betaproteobacteria. The record is from RNAcentral.
UGGAGGAAAGCAGGGGAUCGUAAGACCUUGCGCUUUUGGAGUGGCCGAUGCCUGAUUAGCUAGUUGGUGGGGUAAGAGCCUACCAAGGCGACGAUCAGUAGUUGGUCUGAGAGGACGACCAGCCACACUGGGACUGAGACACGGCCCAGACUCCUACGGGAGGCAGCAGUGGGGAAUUUUGGACAAUGGGCGGAAGCCUGAUCCAGCAAUGCCGCGUGAGUGAAGAAGGCCUUCGGGUUGUAAAGCUCUUUCAGUCGAGAAGAAAAGGUUGCGACUAAUAAUCGCAACUUAUGACGGUAUCGACAGAAGAAGCACCGGCUAACUACGUGCCAGCAGCCGCGGUAAUACGUAGGGUGCAAGCGUUAAUCGGAAUUACUGGGCGUAAAGGGUGCGCAGGCGGCUCUGUAAGUCAGAUGUGA